UGUUGGUAUCUUAGUGGCGGACGGGUGAGUAACGCGUGGGUAACCUGCCUUACACUGGGGGAUAACACUUAGAAAUAGGUGCUAAUACCGCAUAACAGGGAAAGAUGCAUGUCUUUUCCUUAAAAACUCCGGUGGUGUAAGAUGGACCCGCGUCUGAUUAGCUUGUUGGCGGGGUAACGGGCCCACCAAGGCGACGAUCAGUAGCCGGCCUGAGAGGGUGAACGGCCACAUUGGGACUGAGACACGGCCCAAACUCCUACGGAAGGCAGCAG
This 272-nucleotide ribosomal RNA is filed under the name uncultured bacterium. Its description in RNAcentral is "partial 16S ribosomal RNA". It matches the Rfam family "Bacterial small subunit ribosomal RNA", at positions 82 to 354 of the family's 1533-position model. The record is from RNAcentral.